CCUACGGGAGGCAGCAGUGAGGAAUAUUGGUCAAUGGACGAGAGUCUGAACCAGCCAAGUAGCGUGAAGGAUGACUGCCCUAUGGGUUGUAAACUUCUUUUGUCAGGGAGCAAUUGGGUCCACGCGUGGGCUUAGCGAGAGUACCUGAAGAAAAAGCAUCGGCUAACUCCGUGCCAGCAGCCGCGGUAAUACGGAGGAUGCGAGCGUUAUCCGGAUUUAUUGGGUUUAAAGGGUGCGUAGGCGGAAUAUCAAGUCAGCGGUAAAAAUUCGGGGCUCAACCCCGUCGUGCCGUUGAAACUGAUGUUCUGGAGUGGGCGAGAAGUAGGCGGAAUGCGUGGUGUAGCGGUGAAAUGCAUAGAUAUAUGGAAGAACACCAGUGGCGAAAGCGGCUCUCUGGUCUGUAACUGACGCUGAGGUUCGAAAGCGUGGGUAGCAAACAGGAUUAGAUACCCUUGUAGUC
RNAcentral lists this ribosomal RNA (460 nucleotides) under uncultured bacterium. RNAcentral's name for it is "partial 16S ribosomal RNA". It matches the Rfam family "Bacterial small subunit ribosomal RNA", at positions 338 to 795 of the family's 1533-position model. The record is from RNAcentral.